Molecule: non-coding RNA, 227 nt
Organism: Pelobates cultripes (western spadefoot toad)
Lineage: Eukaryota; Metazoa; Chordata; Amphibia; Anura; Pelobatidae
Source: the annotation of a GenBank genome assembly
AAAAAGGCCAAAUAAAAAACCAUUACACCCGUCGCACUUUAAAAAAAAAAAAAAAAAAAAUUAAUCCAAGUUCGCCCUUCGAGGGCACGCCGCAUACUGAGCUCCGCAGGGCGGGUCAAGGCUUAUAAAGCCUUGCCCCGCCCUGCAAUUAGGCUCAGAACACUCUGAUUGGUGGGUUUAAGCCAAUCAGAGUGUUAUGAGUCAUUUUACACAGCGUGGGAAAAUUC